RNAcentral lists this long non-coding RNA (1363 nucleotides) under Jatropha curcas. Its description in RNAcentral is "long non-coding RNA (JCUR_LNC003599)". Lineage: Eukaryota; Viridiplantae; Streptophyta; Magnoliopsida; Malpighiales; Euphorbiaceae. The record is from RNAcentral.
AAUAACCCUUGGCACGCAUCUAGGAUUCAAUUUAUUGAAAGCAUUAGAAAUGAACAAGACCCAAUUCUAACUAAUAAAUCACAAACAUAGUUUAUUCAAAUUAGAUUAUUCACCUCCUUAAUAUAACUUAAAAAUCUAGUUCUUGUCAAGUUAUAUCAUUUGCUACAAAUGUUAACUUCAAGCAAUCAAUUACGGGUUUGAUCUAAUCAACUAGCUUUUUAUUUUUCUAAUUAACCAGCUUUUUAUUUUUCUAAUUAACCGAAUAACUGGCUAUGUUAUCUAGUUAAACAGUAUAAUAAACAUCCACCAACAGAAACCAAUGAGUAAAGGAAGUAAAUCAAUAUUGAAGAAUUAAAAUGAACAAGAAAAAGAAUAACAAGAUCUCACAACACUAUUGUAGAACUAAGCACUUGGAUGAAAUCUUAAACUGGAAUCAAAAAUGAGUUUUUUAUCUGUUCAUGGCUGCUUUUUUUUAGUUUUUUUACAGAAAUUCCAGGAAAAUAAAACAAAUACUGAAUCAAACUAAAAAAAGACUACAACUCCCAAAAACUACUCUCCGCUUUCAGGAACUCUAUAUUGCUUUUAACCUCCCUUUCAAAUGAGCCAAAAGCGACCCAAUAAUACAGCAAACCUUCCUUAACUGUCAAAUUAUAAAAAGGAAAUAAAUCUCAUAAAAAAAUCAGAUUACCUUGCAAAGUGAACAUAAUUUCCAACAAAUAUAUGACAAUAUAAUGACUUAACAAAUUCUUCCACACUUAUCACUUGCUUGUCCUGAAGCAUUAGCUCAACACUCAAUUCAUUAAUCAGUUCAAAAGGAAAAUCACCCAACUUUUCACAACCUUUAAAACUAUUCUUGGAAAAACAAACUUUAAUACAAAGCAAAGAUAACACAAUUAGCAUAUCUGAAAUCCACAAACAAUAAAAGAGUUGAAUUUAAAUUCUUUUAAACAAAAAGAACAAGGCUUGAGCAUUCUCAUAAAAUACAUGCAAUCAAAGUUUCAUAUGAAUUAAGCCACUGCUUGAAGAAUAAUUUAUCAACUUGCCAAGUCACAAAGCCUUACACAAAAGCAUACAAUAAACAAGAAUAGAGGUGCUAGAAUUUUAUUAUUUUUAGAGCACUUUUUGGCUUGCUUGAAAGUCAAUAGCCUUUUGGGGCGAGGGCCAAUAUUUGUGAUACCCACACCCUGCUACUUGGAUUCACAAACUCAGUGGCUACUAGCUCUACUCUUAUCCAUUACCAGACAGUGGAGUAAAAAUGUAAUUGGCUUGUGCUCUUUAUUCAGAUAAGAAUAGACUGAUUCCUUUUUUUUAGCAACCUCAAAUUUAGCAGUCAAACACAUAAUGCCCUUUUUUUUUUUUUUUU